This is a long non-coding RNA of Gallus gallus (chicken), 1541 nucleotides long. The record is from Ensembl. Lineage: Eukaryota; Metazoa; Chordata; Aves; Galliformes; Phasianidae.
GAAUAAUUUCAUAUUUUAUUUCUAAUUAUAGCUGAGUCAAAAGAACAUAUCUCUGUACAAGACGAGAUACAUAUUAAGGGAUGGAGACCAAUCAAGCACUUUUUUUACAUUUGUGAACUUUUUGUUACUCUUUCAGAGGACCUCAUGGGCUACUUCCUGAAAAUAGGAAAAAAUUCUUCUUCCUGAAAAUUCUCUGUAAAAAAUUUUUAAAGUUUCAUCUCUCCGUGUAAGACACAAAAUCUAAUUUUCAUGGGAGAAUAGUCAGCCACAUUUCAGCUGUGGUACAAAGAUGGCUAUUUGUGUUGGGGGCAGUUUGGGCUUACAUGUUGGGAAGGAAGAAGAUAAAAUCACUGAGGAUCAGUAUCUACUCAUAGGCAAUGCAGUGCAGACUGGCAGGAACUCUUCAUAGUGUGCUUUGGUGUAAUGGUUGUUUAAUACAGAAGAUUGUGGUACUGCUGCCUCUCCUCUCAUCCCAUUGCUGGCCCAGGAUUUCUAAAGGCUGCAGUGCCUUUCCUGGCAUCAGAACUGAUGCCUUAGCUGAAAAUAGAGGUAUGGGAAAAGAUUCUUGUAUUAAAUCCCCAACACAAAAGCAAUUGCAUCACAGAUAGAGAUCUCUCAAAUAUAUUAUUCAUGGACUAAUUAAGCUGUGACCUGGAAUUAGCAUGUGGAGGACUGAAAUACAUCACGUGCUGUAUACUAUCCAUGAGUGGUAUACAAGGGUUUACUAACAGAGCACCAUGUUAAUCUUAUUAAUUCAUACCUUGCUUAACUACGGGAAGGGACUUCAAUCCAGAACCUGAUACAGCUCCAGCAAAAUGCACAUCUAUAUCUUGUAAGUAUCUUAUGAUCUCUGUGAUGUUAAGAUUUAUACAGUUCAUAUUUACUUUUCUUUUAACAACAUUGGCAUCUGAAUAAUAGAUAUUUGAACUUUAUGACUAGGACAUCUAGAAUACUUCAUGUCUUGGAGAACCAGGUAAUACCUAAGAUUUAGAGUUCUCAGCAGGAAAAUGUGCAACCUUGGUGUACAACAGGCAACUUUACUGUAAUGCUGUUACUGUUGUGUCAAAGGGUUUUUGAUUAGAAUACUAUUGGGAGUGAUGGUCAUUGCAGAUCCAUUGCACUAGCGUAGACACCACUGCAUCCACGUAGUUGCUGCAAGCACAGAAUUUUGUUCUGUCUGCACACACAGCUUUAGUCACAAGAGCAUAUCGUUUUCCUCCCCACAGACUGGGGAGAUAACAGCAUGAUGGGAGCCAGAGCAUGGGAAGAGAGAGAUGACCGUGUUUGUCUGCUCCCUGCAGAUAUCUCAGAAACACUCCUAAGAUGGAGCUACACCAGUGUCAUGGAUGUGGAUGAAACCGAUUCCUCUUCAGAUUUGGAUUAAGAACACACCAAUCUGCUUCAGUUUUCUGGAAAGCAUAACACUUCUUAUCCUCCACAUUCAUGUGAGAAGAGUUAUCAAAUGAGGUCUGAUUUAAUUAAAAGUAGGUAUAAUCUCCACAAACAUAUGAGAGCCAGUCAGAAAAAAAGGUAAGUCUUUG